GUUAGAUGUAGUAGUUUCCGGUCUGAAACAAGAGGAACUUUGUUAAUACAUAGACAAAUAAGGAAAGUAGUGAUAAAACUUCUUUUAACAUUAGAACUGCCAAAGGGGUUAGGGUUAGGUUUAGGGUUAGAAUUACAGAGUUGUAAUCAAAGGUUGCUUCACUCUGAUCAACUCCAGGCGUCAGAAAUACUUCACUCUCGCUGGUGGAACAAUUGGAAGCUGUUUCUAGCUUUUCUUCAAAGUUUGUAGAACUCUGAACGACCUCUGAACUCGCGUCAGUCGAAGAAACAUCGAUGCUGGGGUUUGUGCCAGCGUUCAACAGGCGCUCUACAUUGUCGGAGCCACUACUGAGGGUGUUACUCGGUGGAAAAGACGGUGCUAGCUUGCGUUUUGGCACCACGGGUCGCGGGGCUGCUUUUCUAGGCUUUGGAAGUGGAACAGGUUCUCCAACUGUACUCGAUGGGAAAGAAAAAAAGAAGAUACCAUCACCGAAGGGUAUAGAUAGCUAAGCGGAUGAAAACAUAGGGAUAAGAAUUUCUAGAAGCAUGCAACAAUUGUUACUAUAACUGUACAAGGGCAAGUGUAUGUUUCUUGAUGAAAUGUACUGUACAAGAAUUUCUAUACUUAUGGUGGUCAAAUAUUGCAUGGAAAUAUGUACAUGGAAAUCUUGAAAAGACAAAGCAAUAAAACAUAACCUAUAACGUUUCUGAGGUAGAGAAUGGAAUGGAUAUUUCAAUCUAAAGUUUAAACAAAUUCCCCGACUCUACUUUCCAAUAUGGAGUUUAACUGAAUUAAAAAUCUGUUCCAACUUUCAGUGGACUCUUUUCGACUAACCAAACCAGGUGGUGGAGGUUCCAGUAUGCUCAACUUUUUCUCUGAUUCCAAUUUACACUCGCUGUGCUGGAUAAUGGGUAAAGAUGGUAAUUUAUCAACGUUGCUAGGCACUGGUGGCUCUAUGCUCGUUACUGGAAUAUCUAAAGGCUUCCUGGAUAUUGCAAAUAUCUGCAAGCUACUCAAGGGCGGUGGGGAAGGGUUAGAUCUACGGAUAGCUGUUGCCCUGCCAAAAGUUUCUUCGUUAAGACUCGAGGAAAUUAAACCGUCGUAACACCUAGUCGUGCUUACGUUCCCUAGCUUUGCUUGUCCAUCAUUGAUCAACUCUGAGCUAUCAUCAGAAAAGCUAUUUCUAACAGAGAAGCUUUGGGAGCUCGACAACCUUGGCUUUUCAAAAUUACUCACUAUCUUGGUCUCCCUUAAUUUGUACCCCACUUGAAAGCUUGAACUAUACUUCAGUGUUUUAGCCUGACACCUCUGGUCACAAAUAUAAUUAUCCAGCUGCAAUUUAAUAGGACUAAACCUGUUCUCCGGUGCACCACAUUCUGGCACAUUUUCAAUAUCUGUCUCUAUAUCAUCCAAAUGGGCAACAGUCUGCAUUUUAACCAACCUACUCUGUGAUUUAAACGACUUCUGACGAGUGAACUGCUUACUUCCCUGAAAACUAGCUGUUUUUGACCACUCCGUAACCUUAGGGACAACAAUGUUUGAACAAGCAAAGCUCUGAGACUUCUGCAGCUUAGAAUUUGUUUUAGCAGAAUUCUUAUCACCGUCUAAGGACCUAGCUUUGAACAUGACUGAUGCACUUUUGACAAAAGUAUCCGUAAGAUCAUCUGAGAGAUCACUCAACCUACGCUCUGCUUUGCACUCCUCAAUUCUUGAAUGCAGUUUAAUUUUCUCAGUGUCGAACAGACUUCUAUGCUUCUUAGCAACGUCCAUUCCAUUCUCUGCGUUCUCAAAACUGUUCUUGGACACGAAACUAUAA
Osmia lignaria (orchard mason bee) is the source of this 1816-nucleotide non-coding RNA. Lineage: Eukaryota; Metazoa; Arthropoda; Insecta; Hymenoptera; Megachilidae. The record is from RefSeq and is a predicted model, not a curated record.